RNAcentral lists this ribosomal RNA (497 nucleotides) under uncultured bacterium. RNAcentral's name for it is "partial 16S ribosomal RNA". It matches the Rfam family "Bacterial small subunit ribosomal RNA", at positions 28 to 507 of the family's 1533-position model. The record is from RNAcentral.
GACGAACGCUGGCGGCGUGCCUAAUACAUGCAAGUUGAGCGCUGAAGGUUGGUACUUGUACCGACUGGAUGAGCAGCGAACGGGUGAGUAACGCGUGGGGAAUCUGCCUUUGAGCGGGGGACAACAUUUGGAAACGAAUGCUAAUACCGCAUAAAAACUUUAAACACAAGUUUUAAGUUUGAAAGAUGCAAUUGCAUCACUCAAAGAUGAUCCCGCGUUGUAUUAGCUAGUUGGUGAGGUAAAGGCUCACCAAGGCGAUGAUACAUAGCCGACCUGAGAGGGUGAUCGGCCAGAUUGGGACUGAGACACGGCCCAAACUCCUACGGGAGGGAGCAGUAGGGGAUCUUCGGCAAUGGACGAAAGUCUGACCGGGCAACGCCGCGUGAGUGAAGAAGGUUUUCGGAUCGUAAAACUCUGUUGGUAGAGAAGAACGUUGGUGAGAGUGGAAAGCUCAUCAAGUGACGUUAACUAGCCAGAAAGGGACGGCUAACUACGUG